This is a long non-coding RNA of Oncorhynchus tshawytscha (Chinook salmon), 965 nucleotides long. Lineage: Eukaryota; Metazoa; Chordata; Actinopteri; Salmoniformes; Salmonidae. The record is from Ensembl.
AAUUGACUUCUAAUUCCAACUGAAGAGGAUUGACCUUCAAGUGGAGGGGGAUGUUUUUUAUUGUGGGUCACUUUGUGGCAGGGAUUAUCCUGCAUGGGGAUAAAUUGGCUGGCGACACGCAAGAACACCUUGUCAAAGGUAAAGGCAUGUCCGCAUAGUUGCUUUUGUCAUGGUUCUAAAUAAGAGGUUAGAGGUGUCAAUGUAGGGAGAGCUGCCACCUUCCUGACAAAAUAUUGCCAGACACACCGUAUAAAUGUGUCUUCACUCCUAUUCCUGUAGACCAGUCUGGAGCAGCACAGUUGCUGGAUUGGAGUUUGCAACGUGGGAAACUACCACUGGAUACUCUUAGUAAACUGCACAAGAUUGACUAUUUUAGUGAGAUUGGACAGUACUAUUCUUGAAUAUGUUAUGUUUGAGGCCAUUUUGAUAUACUGACUUGAAAUUACCGCUUGCGUUUAGGAUGUCAAUUGCAGGACCAACUCUGCCAUUGUCCUGGACCCUACUGGUUCCCCUAACGCGGAGAGCCAUAUGUGUGAGAACCUGGUGAAGCACAUCCGAUACUGGUUUGAGGAACGAACCUGCAGAACUGGGACAGAAUCUGUGUACAGCAAUGUUCCCUGGCAGGCGACAACGAUACCGCAAAGCGACGUCUACAAUCGUGGAGUUUAUGUGCUGCUGAACUUGACAGGACACUCAACUGCAGUUCCUGUGCAACAGAUGAGGGGGGGGCCAACUGGAGUGCUCCAGUUGAUCCGACACCUCCUGUGCUGGGGUAUCCAUCACCAUUUAAAAUCAACACAUGGAUAAUCCUGCCUUACAAUGGAUAUGCUCACCCUGCCACCCUGCCACAAUUGAAUACCUGCACACCAAGGCUACUAUUGGGUUGAUACUGUGUCAAAUUGAUAUAAUUUCCAGAGGUGUAAACGAUUUACAACUACAGUAGAUGGUAUAUUUUAGGGCUGUCC